This is a long non-coding RNA of Myzus persicae (green peach aphid), 2379 nucleotides long. RefSeq lists it as uncharacterized. The transcript has 3 exons. NCBI's taxonomy places the organism in Eukaryota, Metazoa, Arthropoda, Insecta, Hemiptera, Aphididae. The record is from RefSeq and is a predicted model, not a curated record.
GAGAUAUGUCUAUAGAUAGGUACCUCUAAAACGGCUAUCUGUCGUGUAACAUGCGCUCGCACGCAAGACGGGUCUGCAAAAAAUCGAAUUCGCGCAAUCACGUUAAAACGCAAUUAGUAUACAUUUACCUAAUAUCUGUACCUUCGACAACUGCGAGUGUAUUCAUAUUUAAUAUAUUAUAUUAUAUGAAACAUACGCCUUCGAUGUCUGCAAAUAUAUAUUUAUACACGUAUUAUAAAUGUUACUGUCGUUUUUUUUUCGCUAGCGGUUUUCACACGGGUACAGAUGAGAUAGUUAUAAACAUCACUGGUUUGGAUUUCGGCUUCUGUUCGCGCUCGCGAUCGGUUUUGCAGAUAAAAUACAGAGUGUAAGUAACUGCACAGUUUUUUUUUUAAAUGAUCACCCAACAAUCUGUACGAGAAUCAGAUUUCGAAGAAAAAAACGAGUCAGUAAAAGUAGCUAUUUGCAUCGACCGGUACAAAGCAGAGUUCUGGCCCUGUGGCUGCGUCGUCGUCGCCAAUAACGGAUUUGAUAUGGAAAAAAGUCCGCCAGCAAACAUUCCACAAAAUGCGAAAGGGUCUCGUAAAAAAAUUAUUAUCCGGGUAGGGCAAAAUUUCCGUUUUUUUAAAAAAUACUUAUAAUUACACAUCAAAAUAUCAAUUUAAGGAAACCAUAUGCACAGACAAAUACUACGAAAAAAUGUGUAAAAAGUACUUGGUUCUGAAGCAUUAUUUCCUUCCUUUCUGUUAUUGUUGUAAAUCAUCUGUAAUUUGUAAUAUUCUCAAUCGUACACAUGUAUACAAAUAAAUAUAUAUUGUCUGUACUGUAAAUAAGCGAGUUCGUGUUUGGCGUGUUCCUGGUUACUAGUUAUAACAUAAGUCAACACACAUUUUGUGCCACAUCAUUUCUGGAAUUGUUAGAUCUAAUAAUUUACUGUUCUGCAUUUAGUAUGGUUAAAAAAAAUUGUAAUGCACCUGAGUUCCCGGGCUAGGGAUCAGCCCACAAAACAAUGUCUACAUACCUGUUAAUAAACCCGCUAAUGAUCGUCGCACCCGUUUUGUUUACAAUAAUAUUUUCAACCAUCAAAUAAUUUGCCAUAGUCAUCGCUCGUCGAGUGCAACAGAACAAUAACAAGACAUAUUAUGCAGAUUUUAUUCGACGAAUUAGCGCUGAUAUAUUAUUAUUAUAAUAUUAUAUUAUCUUUAAUCUACUGUAACUUUUACUUUUUGUGUUUCCAUAUUAACUGCAUAAAUUUAACGUUUAAAUCGUCGAACUGUUAUAGGCACUAUACCACUAUACCAGAAGAUCUAAAAAGAAAAAUAUUAUAUUAUAUCGUCAUGGGCGAGCGAUUACAACCGACGAGAAAUAUAUAUUUAUAUUUCCGUUCUUCGUCGCCCAUAAUAUUAUAUACAGGUAACUAUAAUAAACCUAGUAGGUACUUCUAUUUGUCUAAUCACUGUAUUGAUACAAUAAUAUUACACACAGCACGAGUGACAAUCGUCUCGCGAUGAUUAAUUAUCAUUUGUGUUUACAUAGGUACGAGAAAAAAACGCCGAAAGCGUCCCGUGCGUGGUUUUCAAGUGCAGGUCCGACGACGCCCAAAGGGAAAAAUUAAUUUACGACCAUAUAUGCCCGUUAUAAGCGGUGUGCCUAUACCAAUGCGGGGUAUUUCAUUAGACGUUCAAGGAUUUCGAUUGAACUACUUAAUACGCAAUAUUUGACAAAAUGCCAGUAAAUUAGUUUGCUGCGUACCUAUCCGUCGACCUUGACCGUCAUUCGAGGAAACGACGUUUUACAUGCAAAUUUAACGCCUCGUUUUCAAUAAUUCGACCCUGCGUGUGUGUGUGUGUGUGUCGUUCUAAUGGGAUCGGGAGUCAGAUCCGCGAGUGACCUUGACAAAUCCCGAUGAGUGAAAAAUUCGUCCUCGAGUCGUCAACCGUUUCGUGAGUACGCAGAAAAACAUGAUAUUAUGUAUUAUUUCUUAGGAGUAAAAAAAUGAAGGUAUACCUACCUAUACACUUCCGACGCAUAUACCUACAUCGCCAGUGUAUGAUAUUGCCCUUAAAAGCGUCCUCGUACACCUUAGAUAUAAGGUUGUUCUCAAGUCUCGAUCGGUGAUGUUUACGUUCGGGCUCGCAUUCGCUGAACGUUACACAUUAUAAUGUUAUUAUUAUUUGUUAUUGAUUAAUGAACUGAUAUCGAUAUCAUUGUAAACAAACAUGCACCAUAUUGUACACGCGUCACACAAACCAUAUCAUAUCACAAUGUAAACUUUCAGUCCUUCUCAAAGUUGGCGAUAACGCCCCUAACCCUUCCCCGGGAGCGUCGGUAGCCUUCGGGCGGAGAGGGGGGAGUGGUAUAAGGCCCGAAGAAAUUUGG